GUGUCAGCAGCCGCGGUAAUACGUAGGAUCCGAGCGUUGUCCGGAAUUACUGGGUGUAAAGGGCGUGUAGGUGGGUCUUUAAGUCGGUGGUGAAAUCUUGCAGCUUAACUGCAAAAUUGCCGUCGAUACUGGAGAUCUUGAGUACGGCAGAGGGAGAUGGAAUUCAUGGUGUAGCGGUGAAAUGUGUAGAUAUCAUGAAGAACACCGGUAGCGAAGGCGGUCUCCUGGUCCGUCACUGACACUGAGGCGCGAAAGCGUGGGGAGCAAACAGGAUUAGAAACCCUCGUAGUCC
This 292-nucleotide ribosomal RNA is filed under the name uncultured bacterium. Its description in RNAcentral is "partial 16S ribosomal RNA". It matches the Rfam family "Bacterial small subunit ribosomal RNA", at positions 505 to 796 of the family's 1533-position model. The record is from RNAcentral.